GAUGAACGCUAGCGGCAGGCUUAACACAUGCAAGUCGAGGGGCAGCAUGAAGGUUAGCAAUAACCUUUGAUGGCGACCGGCGCAAGGGUGCGUAACGCGUGAGGCAACUUGCCCGUUUCAGGGGGAUAACCGGUGGAAACGCCGAACUAAUACCCCAUGGCAUCAUUGGGAGGCAUCUCCGUUCUGGAUUAAAGAAUUUCGGAAACGGAUAGGCUCGCGUGACAUUAGCUAGACGGCGGGGUAACGGCCCACCGGUGGCGACGAUGUCUAGGGGUUCUGAGAGGAAGGUCCCCCACACUGGAACUGAGACACGGUCCAGACUCCUACGGGAGGCAGCAGUGAGGAAUAUUGGUCAAUGGGUCUGACGACUGAACCAGCCAUGCCGCGUGAAGGUCACGGCCCUAUGGGUCUUAAACUCUUUUGCAAGGGAGCAU
Molecule: ribosomal RNA, 434 nt
Filed under: uncultured bacterium
Lineage: Bacteria
Description: bacterial SSU rRNA
Rfam family: Bacterial small subunit ribosomal RNA
Source: RNAcentral